Molecule: ribosomal RNA, 253 nt
Filed under: uncultured bacterium
Lineage: Bacteria
Description: partial 16S ribosomal RNA
Rfam family: Bacterial small subunit ribosomal RNA
Source: RNAcentral
UACGAAGGGGGCUAGCGUUGCUCGGAAUCACUGGGCGUAAAGCGCACGUAGGCGGCUCUUUAAGUCAGGGGUGAAAUCCCGAGGCUCAACCUCGGAACUGCCCUUGAUACUGGGGAUCUCGAGUCCGGAAGAGGUUGGUGGAACUCCGAGUGUAGAGGUGAAAUUCGUAGAUAUUCGGAAGAACACCAGUGGCGAAGGCGGCCAACUGGUCCGGCACUGACGCUGAGGUGCGAAAGCGUGGGGAGCAAACAGG